RNAcentral lists this ribosomal RNA (255 nucleotides) under uncultured bacterium. Its description in RNAcentral is "partial 16S ribosomal RNA". It matches the Rfam family "Bacterial small subunit ribosomal RNA", at positions 524 to 777 of the family's 1533-position model. The record is from RNAcentral.
UACGAAGGGGGCUAGCGUUGCUCGGAAUCACUGGGCGUAAAGGGUGCGUAGGCGGGUCUUUAAGUCAGGGGUGAAAUCCUGGAGCUCAACUCCAGAACUGCCUUUGAUACUGAGGAUCUUGAGUUCGGGAGAGGUGAGUGGAAUUGCGAGUGUAGAGGUGAAAUUCGUAGAUAUUCGCAAGAACACCAGUGGCGAAGGCGGCUCACUGGCCCGGAACUGACGCUGAGGCGCGAAAGCGGUGGGGAGCAAACAGGG